Molecule: ribosomal RNA, 274 nt
Filed under: uncultured bacterium
Lineage: Bacteria
Description: partial 16S ribosomal RNA
Rfam family: Bacterial small subunit ribosomal RNA
Source: RNAcentral
AUACAGAGGGUGCAAGCGUUAAUCGGAAUUACUGGGCGUAAAGCGCGCGUAGGCGGUUUAAUCAGUCGGAUGUGAAAGCCCCGGGCUCAACCUGGGAACUGCAUUCGAUACUGUUAAGCUAGAGUAUGGUAGAGGGAAGUGGAAUUCCAGGUGUAGCGGUGAAAUGCGUAGAUAUCUGGAGGAACAUCAGUGGCGAAGGCGACUCCCUGGACUCGAACUGACGCUGAGGUACGAAAGCGUGGGUAGCAAACGGGAUUAGAAACCCUAGUAGUCC